This 423-nucleotide ribosomal RNA is filed under the name Amblyomma maculatum (Gulf Coast tick). RNAcentral's name for it is "partial small subunit ribosomal RNA". The record is from RNAcentral. Lineage: Eukaryota; Metazoa; Arthropoda; Arachnida; Ixodida; Ixodidae.
AUUGCUGUAGUAUUUUGACUAUACAAAGGUAUUGAAAUAAGACUUUAAUUGAGUGCUAAGAGAAUGGAAUUUCAUAAAAUUUCUUUUUUAAUUUUAAAAAUUGAAAUUAAUUUUAUAUGUGAAGAAACAAUAAUAAAAAUUAAGGACAAGAAGACCCUAAGAAUUUUAAAAAUUUCAAUAAAAUACUGUAUUUUAUUGAAAUUUUUUAAUUGGGGCGAUUAUUAAAUAUUAAAAACUUUAAUUUUUUUAAAAAAGAACCAAUAAUAUUGGUUAUUUGAAAAAAUACUCUAGGGAUAACAGCGUAAUAAUUUUUGAUAGUUCUUAUAGACAAAAUAGUUUGCGACCUCGAUGUUGGAUUAGGAUUCUUUUUUAAUGAAGAAGUUAAAAAAAGAAGUUUGUUCAACUUUUAAAAUCCUACUUGAU